CUGAGUGGCUAGGGCUUAAAUGAUUGCUGCAGUGCAAUCCAGGCAAAAUUGAAGUACGCUAAUGGUACCGGUGGAAGCCUUGAUCCUAUUUGAAAAAGGAGAGCUUCACGAAGCACAUUAUGAAACUGUUUUACUUCGGAUCGUCCAAGGUGUCAUCGACAAAAAAAAAAAAA
Long non-coding RNA from Rosa chinensis, 173 nucleotides. RefSeq lists it as uncharacterized. The record is from RefSeq and is a predicted model, not a curated record. The transcript is spliced from 2 exons. NCBI's taxonomy places the organism in Eukaryota, Viridiplantae, Streptophyta, Magnoliopsida, Rosales, Rosaceae.